Molecule: unclassified non-coding RNA, 2484 nt
Filed under: Leishmania donovani
Lineage: Eukaryota; Euglenozoa; Kinetoplastea; Trypanosomatida; Trypanosomatidae
Description: gene:LdHU3.10.1330(CDS-product:hypothetical_prote in_conserved)
Source: RNAcentral
CCCCGCCCCCGCCACGCCCACCACCACCACUACCACCACACACACACACACACACACACACCGUUAUCUACUACAUACCAAUCACAUACGCCCAACUGGUGUAUGGAAAGUGCACAUACGGGCCCCAUCACCACGAACACUGUGCUCGAAUCUCGCUCGUUCUUCGUUCUCUCUUUUACUUCCCGCGUUGCUUUUUAUCUCCCUCUCUGCCUCUCUGGGUCUGUGUCUCUGCGUGUGUCUCUUCCAUAUUCUGCCCUCCUGCCCUCAGGCGCGCACGGCACGUUCCAUUGCAGGUGGAGCGUUCAUCCGUACAAACGCACCGCCACCCCCCCCCAGCCCUGACCACCACCACCUCCUCCCAGUCCUACUCCUCCCUCUCAUCGUGCGCAUACUUUGCGUGAUCGCGGCACCGUCAGACGCAUCGAAGAAAAAGCGAAAAUGGCGUGCGCCUCCGUCUGCGACGCCAUCCUCACGUUUUUGCGAAAGUUUUUUUCGCUGAUACUCGCGAUUGCGAUGGCCUUCUUCACGAUGAUGUACGUCAUCGGCGCUGGCGUGGUGACCACGCAGGCGAAGAGCUUCAGCAAGUCUGGCUUUGCCCAUUUCUUGGGGAUCGUCUUUUCCAUUGUCUCCGUGAUUGGGUACCUUAUCCUGCACUUCGUGCCCCGCAAGGCGUACCGCCUUCUUUACGCCAUCACCUUCCUGAUGCUUACGACGAUGUUCCUGGUGGCCCACUCGAUGGGGCUAGCGGCGCCGGUUGUGGCCGACUGCAACGCCGCCGGCUCGCUGCACUUCACGGGUAACUAUACCGGUAUCGGUAGUAUCGGCUCCAUACUGGAUGACAACAACGAGAACGUGACGAUUGGGCGCCUCGGCGAGCCGGUGGCGCAGUGCAAAAGUAACGCCCUGCUGUUCGCCGCCUCCUUCAUCAACAUGUUCCUCUACGUGAUCGCGCUCUUCGACGUGCAGACGGUGCUGCUGGCCCGUGUCAAGUCGAAGACCUACGGCGAGCGUUUUGUGGAGAUGGGCAUCAGCAACUAAAGGGAUAGCAGCGGCAAGGGAUGACGAGGAAGCACACACGCACUCCGCAGAAGAAGAGAAAGACCUUCGAAGGAUGCGGGACGAUCAAGGCGUGCCAAGUCAGCGAUGGAGGGCCGUUUCGUCCAAAACCAACUCGAGAUGCAGUGGAGCCGGGGGGUCAUUCAGUGUGCAGCAAAGAGCAGCGACUCCAUCAACAGGUGCGUGCCGGACGGCAACUCCUUCUGCGUCCCCUGAGUGCUGCGCGCAUGUCUGCGCUCCUGUGUGUAUGUGUGUAUACAUCUGUGUGUGUGUGUGUGUUUACGCGCGCGUCUGCCGCUUCAGCGUUGCAAAAAGGGGCCGCAUAGCCGGAGGGUUGGUUUACACCGGCAGACAUGCAUCCCUCACGGACUACCCUCUUCCCCCUCCUCCUUCCAUAGCUCGAGCAAUCGCCCAGCACACACACACACACACACACGCAUCCCUACCCCUGCGUCUCUCCGUCCACCCUCUCGUCCGCCUACGACUUCUCGAGGGUCGUUGCGCAUGUCUCUGCUGUUCUGCCUAUACGUCAGCGUGUCUGUGUCUCCAUGUCUGUGUGUGUGUGUGUGUGUCGCAUGUCUGGGGUGGUCGCUCACCCCAUGCUUUAUUGCUUCAAAUAUUUCUUGGUUGCCUUCCCCGCUCACGACGACGUGUAGAGUUUGGAGAGGGGCAGAAAGGGAACAAGGCCGCCUCGUGUACGUCUUGAAGUACACGCGCGCAUGUCAUUGUGCUGCCCUCGCUCUCCCCCCCCCUCUCUCUCUUUUCGACUCCUGCGAGACACACCAGAGACACGGGCACCGACGCGCGCGCGUGUGGGUGUGGGUGUCGCCGGUCUCUGCCGUACCAAAGUUCCUUUCCUGUUCCUUGCUUCGUUAUUUUCCUUCGCUGUUGUCGGCGUUGUUUGUCCCCCUCCCCCCCCCUCUCUCCCAUCAUUCAUUCCUAUCGUGUGCGCACUCCCUCUGGGCUGCUUCUCUGGGCACUUGUGCAGUCGCUGUGGUGGUGGUAUGGUGAGCCCCCGCCCCCUUAUUCGCUUCCUUGGCAGUGGUUGUCGAGGACGGAGUGCGCGCUCGCUGUCUGUCUGUAUGUCCGUGUUGUGCUCAGUGGCCAAUGCGGUGAGGGAGAGCUAGGGAGCGGCUUCGUCGUAGGUCGAAGUGUGCGGGUGUGGGAGAUCUGGUUCGCUGGUUGUGAUCGUGUUUGCCGUCGUCUUAUUCGAUGACUGAAAAGGCAGAGCAAGCGUGCACUGAAAAGAAUGCUGAGGGCAUGCAUGUGUGCGUGUGUCUAGGCGAUGAAGGUGCAUCGAGAAGGCGCGUGUGCACAUGUCUGUGUAUGAGCUUUAGUUGGUGACUGGCAAAAGGAGGAUUAAUCGAGAAUGCGCUCCUCCACCCACCCACCCCUCUCUAUCUCCUGAUACCCCCUGUCCUCCUCACC